This 1275-nucleotide long non-coding RNA is filed under the name Pongo abelii (Sumatran orangutan). Its description in RNAcentral is "lincRNA". Lineage: Eukaryota; Metazoa; Chordata; Mammalia; Primates; Hominidae. The record is from RNAcentral.
GGGACUGGCAGGACUGCGCGGCGGCGAUUACAGACAUUUCGGGGGUCCGGGGCCUGUCGCGACUGCUAAGCGCUCGGCGCCUGGCGCUGGCCAAGGCGUGGCCAACAGUGUUGCAAACAGGAACCCGAGGUUUUCACUUCACUGUUGAAGGAACACGAGGGCAUCUGCUAAAGUUUCAGAUUCCAUUUCUGCUCAGUAUCCAGUAGUGGAUCAUGAAUUUGAUGCAGCGGUGGUAGGCGCUGGAGGGGCAGGCUUGCGAGCUGCAUUUGGCCUUUCUGAGGCAGGGUUUAAUACGGCAUGUGUUACAAAGCUGUUUCCUACCAGGUCACACACUGUUGCAGCGCAGGUUGGAAUCAAUGCUGCUCUGGGGAACAUGGAGGGGGACAACUGGAGAUGGCAUUUCUACGACACCGUGAAGGGCUCCGACUGGCUGGGGGACCAGGAUGCCAUCCAAUACAUGACGGAGCAGGCCCCCACUGCCAUGGUCGAGCUAGAAAAUUAUGGCAUGCCGUUUAACAGCACUGAAGAUGGGAAGAUUUAUCAGCAUGCAUUUGGUGGACAGAGCCUCAGGUUUGGAAAGGGCGGGCAGGCCCAUCGGUGCUGCUGUUUGGCUGAUCGGACCGGCCACUCAAUAUUGCACACCUUAUAUGGGAGGUCUCUUUGAUGUGAUACCAGCUGUUUUGUGGAGUAUUUUGCCUUGGAUCUCCUGAUGGAGAAUGGGGAGUGAUGUGGUGUCAUCGCACUGUGCAUAGAGGACGGGUCCAUCCAUCGCAUAAGAGCAAAGAACACUGUUGUUGCCACAGGGUAGGAAUCUAAUUUCUACUUUAUUUCCUUUGUAAAAAUCAAUAAAUUUCAUUUAGAGUUUGUUUAUUUUAAGGAAAAUAGAGGCAUUGUAGAAUAACGGUUCAGACACAGGCCUUGAUAUAACCGUGUGAGGGUGAUGGCCUUUCCCAGCCGUGGUUCCUCACCUGUAAAGGGUGAGGACAGCAGCACCUGCCUCAGGGGGUGAGAAAGCAUGGCCCUCAGUAGUCGGUAGUGGCUGCCAUCAGGUUCACAGCUUACCUCUCCGGAUUUUAGGUGAGGAAACUGUGGCCUGAAGAGUCACAUGGGGUUUUCUGGCAAAAUCUCUCUUGUUUUAUUGGGUUCUGUGUUUAUACUGAUUCCUGGGGAUAGAUAAGUCUGUCUUCUCCACAUAAUGAAAAUAAGUAACUUUAAUUUUAUAUUCUGUCAGUUACUUUAACCACUUUAAAAGUUAAAAAGUGUCAGUACAGCCAA